RNAcentral lists this unclassified non-coding RNA (276 nucleotides) under Hevea brasiliensis (rubber tree). Lineage: Eukaryota; Viridiplantae; Streptophyta; Magnoliopsida; Malpighiales; Euphorbiaceae. The record is from RNAcentral.
GGGGAGGUUGCAUGUUGCCUCUAGGGUAUCCGAAUUGUGGCGCCGGAGCCUGUCUGGGUCCUGGGAAGGGCUGCUCCAACGGCGGCUGUGGCGUCAUGCCGCCGGGCUGCAGAUGUGCGAAUUGCGGAGGAGGGCGCAUGGGCACCGAGGACACUUGAUGAGAUCCCGGCAUGCCGGACAUAGGAGGACCGCGCAUGGGAGGCGGCGCAUUGGGAGGAAACCGGGGACCCGGCUGGGCGGCGUAGGAUGGAGGCGGCGCAGUUGGAGGAAACCGAG